GGUGGUGUGGCCGAGCGGUCUAAGGCGCUGGAUUUAGGCUCCAGUCUCUUCGGAGGCGUGGGUUCAAAUCCCACCACUGCCA
RNAcentral lists this transfer RNA (82 nucleotides) under Dallia pectoralis (Alaska blackfish). RNAcentral describes it as "tRNA-Leu". It matches the Rfam family "tRNA". From Rfam's summary of the family: Transfer RNA (tRNA) molecules are approximately 80 nucleotides in length. The record is from RNAcentral. Lineage: Eukaryota; Metazoa; Chordata; Actinopteri; Esociformes; Umbridae.